This 702-nucleotide ribosomal RNA is filed under the name Enterobacteriaceae bacterium. RNAcentral's name for it is "bacterial SSU rRNA". It matches the Rfam family "Bacterial small subunit ribosomal RNA", at positions 788 to 1490 of the family's 1533-position model. The record is from RNAcentral. Lineage: Bacteria; Pseudomonadati; Pseudomonadota; Gammaproteobacteria; Enterobacterales; Enterobacteriaceae.
UGGUAGUCCACGCCGUAAACGAUGUCGACUUGGAGGUUGUGCCCUUGAGGCGUGGCUUCCGGAGCUAACGCGUUAAGUCGACCGCCUGGGGAGUACGGCCGCAAGGUUAAAACUCAAAUGAAUUGACGGGGGCCCGCACAAGCGGUGGAGCAUGUGGUUUAAUUCGAUGCAACGCGAAGAACCUUACCUACUCUUGACAUCCAGAGAACUUUCCAGAGAUGGAUUGGUGCCUUCGGGAACUCUGAGACAGGUGCUGCAUGGCUGUCGUCAGCUCGUGUUGUGAAAUGUUGGGUUAAGUCCCGCAACGAGCGCAACCCUUAUCCUUUGUUGCCAGCGGUUCGGCCGGGAACUCAAAGGAGACUGCCAGUGAUAAACUGGAGGAAGGUGGGGAUGACGUCAAGUCAUCAUGGCCCUUACGAGUAGGGCUACACACGUGCUACAAUGGCGCAUACAAAGAGAAGCGACCUCGCGAGAGCAAGCGGACCUCAUAAAGUGCGUCGUAGUCCGGAUUGGAGUCUGCAACUCGACUCCAUGAAGUCGGAAUCGCUAGUAAUCGUAGAUCAGAAUGCUACGGUGAAUACGUUCCCGGGCCUUGUACACACCGCCCGUCACACCAUGGGAGUGGGUUGCAAAAGAAGUAGGUAGCUUAACCUUCGGGAGGGCGCUUACCACUUUGUGAUUCAUGACUGGGGUGAAGUCGUA